UUAAGCAUAUCAAUAAGCGGAGGAAAAGAAACUACCCGACCCGUCUUGAAACACGGACCAAGAAGUUCAACAUGCGCGCGAGUCAUGGGGUCCUACGAAACCCAAAGGCGCAAUGAAAGUGAAGCCUUGCUGCUCUUUGCGCAGCAUGGUGUGGUGAGAUCCCGCUGUUUCUCGCAUGCACUUGUUAUUUGUGACGAGGACCAGCAGCUGGGGCUAGUAGCUAUGUUGUCUCGUGCAGCAAAGACAACUAGACGAGCAGCGGGCGCAUCACCGGCCCGUCCCUUGAUGUGGCUAUUGGUUUGCAGCGGUGGUCGGGCAACAACUGACUGCCUGUCUGUCUGCCCGGUACGUCAUCGGGGCGGAGCAUGAGCGCGCAUGUUGAGACCCGAAAGAUGGUGAACUAUGCUUGCGUAGGUUGAAGCCAGAGGAAACUCUGGUGGAGGACCGCAGCGAUUCUGACGUGCAAAUCGAUCGUCAAACGUGAGCAUAGGGGCGAAAGACUAAUCGAACCAUCUAGUAGCUGGUUCCCUCCGAAGUUUCCCUCAGGAUAGCA
Molecule: ribosomal RNA, 553 nt
Filed under: Wenyonia sp. n. AAA-2020
Lineage: Eukaryota; Metazoa; Platyhelminthes; Cestoda; Caryophyllidea; Caryophyllaeidae
Description: partial large subunit ribosomal RNA
Rfam family: Eukaryotic large subunit ribosomal RNA
Source: RNAcentral